AUGCAACCAUACAUAGUCAUAAUACGAGAAACUCGUCCCUAAUCCCCCUGUUCGAACAAGAACAGCCCUGUAUUCAAAUUAUUUUUUACCGGCAACUGUACGUUCAUGGAAUCUCCUCCCUGAGAAUGCUAAGACCAGUACUUCGGUGGGGGCAUUCAGAAAUUGUGUCCAGUCUCGGGCGAUUAAACCUCCAAAUUAUUUUUACAUUGGUAAGCGAUUGGGUCAAAUUUAUCACUCAAGACUUCGUAUGCAAUGCAGUUCUCUAAAUCAUCAUCUGUUUGUUAAAAAUAUAGUGGAUUCGCCACUUUGUUUAUGUGGUGCUAUAGAAACGACAGCGCACUACUUGUUGCACUGCCCCCGUUUUCACAUUAUGCGUGAACAGCAUUUUUAUAAUAUCAAUAAAAUACAUUUUUUGUCGGAAGAAAUCUUGCUACACGGUUCAACGGACUUCAGCUACGAACAAAACAUUGAAAUAUUCUUGGCAGUUCAAACAUUUAUACUCAGUAGUAAAAGAUUUGUCAUAUGAUAGCACACAUCUUGUUCAACAAGUAAUACUUAUAUCUUAAAUAAUUGUGUCCGUUCAGAAACAUACACUUUAUUAUUGAAUUUCCGAUGUAUAUUUUUUUCUUCUUUCUUGUGUGUCACAACCUUAUUAUAUGUUUUUUUUUUUUUUUUUUUUUGUCACAACCUUAUUAUAUGUUUUUUUUUUUUCUUUCCAUCUAGUGUAACAUUGUUAUUUUUUAUAACAUUUUACUCCUUGAGUAUUACAAUAUGAAAUGUUCUUAUUAGGAAACGGAUUAAUAUAAGCUAAGAGCUUGUUUCUGGAUCCUAUUAAUUAU
This 839-nucleotide long non-coding RNA is filed under the name Mytilus galloprovincialis (Mediterranean mussel). The record is from RNAcentral. Lineage: Eukaryota; Metazoa; Mollusca; Bivalvia; Mytilida; Mytilidae.